AGUGUAGCAUUCCUAGCGUGCAGCUAUAAUUUUGCUCCUUGGGCCUACAAGCGGAUCACGCUCUAUUAAUGUCUGGGAAACUGCCCGAUGGAGGGGGAUAACUACUGGAAACGGUAGCUAAUACCGCAUAACGUCGCAAGACCAAAGAGGGGGACCUUCGGGCCUCUUGCCAUCGGAUGUGCCCAGAUGGGAUUAGCUAGUAGGUGGGGUAACGGCUCACCUAGGCGACGAUCCCUAGCUGGUCUGAGAGGAUGACCAGCCACACUGGAACUGAGACACGGUCCAGACUCCUACGGGAGGCAGCAGUGGGGAAUAUUGCACAAUGGGCGCAAGCCUGAUGCAGCCAUGCCGCGUGUAUGAAGAAGGCCUUCGGGUUGUAAAGUACUUUCAGCGAGGAGGAAGGUGUUGUGGUUAAUAACCGCAGCAAUUGACGUUACUCGCAAAAGAAGCACCGGCUAACUCCGUGCCAGCAGCCGCGGUAAUACGGAGGGUGCAAGCGUUAAUCGGAAUUACUGGGCGUAAAGCGCACGCAGGCGGUCUGUCAAGUCGGAUGUGAAAUCCCCGGGCUCAACCUGGAAACUGCAUCCGAAACUGGCAGGCUAGAGUCUUGUAAAGGGGGGUAGAUUCAGGUGUAGCGGUGAAAUCGUAAAGAUCUUGGAG
RNAcentral lists this ribosomal RNA (660 nucleotides) under Citrobacter sp. HPC1298. RNAcentral's name for it is "bacterial SSU rRNA". It matches the Rfam family "Bacterial small subunit ribosomal RNA", at positions 50 to 704 of the family's 1533-position model. Lineage: Bacteria; Pseudomonadati; Pseudomonadota; Gammaproteobacteria; Enterobacterales; Enterobacteriaceae. The record is from RNAcentral.